RNAcentral lists this ribosomal RNA (301 nucleotides) under uncultured bacterium. RNAcentral's name for it is "partial 16S ribosomal RNA". It matches the Rfam family "Bacterial small subunit ribosomal RNA", at positions 509 to 807 of the family's 1533-position model. The record is from RNAcentral.
CAGCAGCCGCGGUAAUACGAAGGGGGCUAGCGUUGUUCGGAUUUACUGGGCGUAAAGGGCGUGUAGGCGGACUGAUAAGUCAGGGGUGAAAUCCCAAGGCUCAACCUUGGAACUGCCUUUGAUACUGUUUGUCUUGAGUUCGAGAGAGGUAAGUGGAACUGCGAGCGUAGAGGUGAAAUUCGUAGAUAUUCGCAAGAACACCAGUGGCGAAGGCGGCUUACUGGCUCGAAACUGACGCUGAGGCGCGAAAGCGUGGGGAGCAAACAGGAUUAGAUACCCCCGUAGUCCCUGUCUCUUAUAC